This 496-nucleotide ribosomal RNA is filed under the name uncultured bacterium. Its description in RNAcentral is "partial 16S ribosomal RNA". It matches the Rfam family "Bacterial small subunit ribosomal RNA", at positions 33 to 507 of the family's 1533-position model. The record is from RNAcentral.
AUUCACGCUGGCGGCGUGCCUAAUACAUGCCAGUCGAGCGAACGGACGAGAAGCUUGCUUUUCUGAUGUUAGCGGCGGACGGGUGAGUAACACGUGGAUAACCUACCUAUAAGACUGGGAUAACUUCGGGAAACCGGAGCUAAUACCGGAUAAUAUUUUGAACCGCAUGGUUCAAAAGUGAAAGACGGUCUUGCUGUCACUUAUAGAUGGAUCCGCGCUGCAUUAGCUAGUUGGUAAGGUAACGGCUUACCAAGGCAACGAUGCAUAGCCGACCUGAGAGGGUGAUCGGCCACACUGGAACUGAGACACGGUCCAGACUCCUACGGGAGGCAGCAGUAGGGAAUCUUCCGCAAUGGGCGAAAGCCUGACGGAGCAACGCCGCGUGAGUGAUGAAGGUCUUCGGAUCGUAAAACUCUGUUAUUAGGGAAGAACAUAUGUGUAAGUAACUGUGCACAUCUUGACGGUACCUAAUCAGAAAGCCACGGCUAACUACGUG